Molecule: ribosomal RNA, 253 nt
Filed under: uncultured bacterium
Lineage: Bacteria
Description: partial 16S ribosomal RNA
Rfam family: Bacterial small subunit ribosomal RNA
Source: RNAcentral
UACGUAGGGGGCGAGCGUUGUCCGGAUUUAUUGGGCGUAAAGAGCGUGUAGGCGGUUCGGUAAGUCUGUCGUGAAAUCCUGAGGCUCAACCUCGGGCGUGCGAUGGAUACUGCCGGGCUAGAGGAUGGUAGAGGCGAGUGGAAUUCCCGGUGUAGCGGUGAAAUGCGCAGAUAUCGGGAGGAACACCUGUGGUGUAGACGGCUUACUGGACCGCGACUGACGCUGAGGCACGAAAGCGUGGGUAGCAAACAGG